AUUGAACGCUGGCGGCAUGCCUUACACAUGCAAGUCGAACGGCAGCACGGGAGCAAUCCUGGUGGCGAGUGGCGAACGGGUGAGUAAUAUAUCGGAACGUGCCCAGUAGUGGGGGAUAACUGCUCGAAAGAGCAGCUAAUACCGCAUACGACCUGAGGGUGAAAGCGGGGGAUCGCAAGACCUCGCGCUAUUGGAGCGGCCGAUAUCAGAUUAGCUAGUUGGUGGGGUAAAGGCCUACCAAGGCAACGAUCUGUAGUUGGUCUGAGAGGACGACCAGCCACACUGGGACUGAGACACGGCCCAGACUCCUACGGGAGGCAGCAGUGGGGAAUUUUGGACAAUGGGCGCAAGCCUGAUCCAGCAAUGCCGCGUGCAGGAAGAAGGCCUUCGGGUUGUAAACUAGCUUUGUCAGGGAAGGAAAUACCUCUGGGCGUAAUAUCCGGGGGACGUGACGGUACC
RNAcentral lists this ribosomal RNA (459 nucleotides) under uncultured bacterium. Its description in RNAcentral is "bacterial SSU rRNA". It matches the Rfam family "Bacterial small subunit ribosomal RNA", at positions 29 to 479 of the family's 1533-position model. The record is from RNAcentral.